Molecule: ribosomal RNA, 497 nt
Filed under: uncultured bacterium
Lineage: Bacteria
Description: partial 16S ribosomal RNA
Rfam family: Bacterial small subunit ribosomal RNA
Source: RNAcentral
GAUGAACGCUGGCGGCGUGCCUAAUACAUGCAAGUCGAGCGAACGGACGAGAAGCUUGCUUCUCUGAUGUUAGCGGCGGACGGGUGAGUAACACGUGGAUAACCUACCUAUAAGACUGGGAUAACUUCGGGAAACCGUAGCUAAUACCGGAUAAUAUUUUGAACCGCAUGGUUCAAAAGUGAAAGACGGUCUUGCUGUCACUUAUAGAUGGAUCCGCGCUGCAUUAGCUAGUUGGUAAGGUAACGGCUUACCAAGGCAACGAUGCAUAGCCGACCUGAGAGGGUGAUCGGCCACAUAGGAACUGGGACACGGUCCAGACUCCUAAGGGAGGCAGCAGUAGGGAAUCUUCCGCGAUGGGCGAAAGCCUGACGGAGCAACGCCGCGUGAGUGAUGAAGGUCUUCGGAUCGUAAAACUCUGUUAUUAGGGAAGAACAUAUGUGUAAGUAACUGUGCACAUCUUGACGGUACCUAAUCAGAAAGCCACGGCUAACUACGUG